Molecule: ribosomal RNA, 574 nt
Filed under: Taphrina rhizophora
Lineage: Eukaryota; Fungi; Ascomycota; Taphrinomycetes; Taphrinales; Taphrinaceae
Description: eukaryotic LSU rRNA
Rfam family: Eukaryotic large subunit ribosomal RNA
Source: RNAcentral
AAACUAACUAGGAUGCCUUCAGUAACGGCGAGCGAAGCAGGCAUAGCUCAAAUUUGUAAUCUGGCGUCUUUGACGUCCGAGUUGUAUUUUCUAGAAGCGAGUUCGGUGACAGCUCCUACCCAAGUCCGUUGGAACGCGGCGUCAUGGAGGGUGAGAAUCCCGUGAAUGGUAGGAUGUCUGCUGCUAUGUGAACCGCCUUCGAAGAGUCGAGUUGUUUGGGAAUGCAGCUCUAAAUGGGAGGUAAAUUUCUUCUAAAGCUAAAUAUUGGCCAGAGACCGAUAGCGAACAAGUAGAGUGAUCGAAAGAUGAAAAGAACUUUGAAAAGAGAGUUAAACAGUACGUGAAAUUGUUGAAAGGGAAGCGCUUGAGAUCAGACUUCCUGUCUAAACUGUCCUUGCUUCUGCUUGGGUUCACAGUUUAGGCGUGGAGGCCAGCAUCAGUUUUGACGGCUGGACAAAGACUUUGGGAAGGUAGCUCUCUUCGGGGAGUGUUAUAGCCCAGGGUGUAAUACAGCCAGUUGGGACUGAGGACCGCGGUUUAUACCUAGGAUGCUGGCGUAAUGGUCUUAAGCGAC